ACACAUGCAAGUCGGACGGUAACAUUGGUGCUUGCACCAGAUGACGAGUGGCGCACGGGUGAGUAACGCGUAUAGUACCUACCCUAUAGUAGGGGAUAGCCCAGGGAAACUUGGAUUAAUACCCUAUGGCACCCCCCUGGCACAUGCCGGGGGGGUUAAAGAUCUAUCGCUAUAGGAUGGCUAUGCGUCCCAUUAGCUUGUUGGUGGGGCAACGGCCCACCAAGGCACCGAUGGGUAGGGGUCCUGAGAGGGAGACCCCCCACACUGGUACUGAGACACGGACCAGACUCCUACGGGAGGCAGCAGUGAGGAAUAUUGGACAAUGGGCGCAGGCCUGAUCCAGCCAUGCCGCGUGCAGGAAGACGGCCCUACGGGUUGUAAACUGCUUUUGUACGGGAAGAAUAAGGGCCACGUGUGGCCCGAUGACGGUACCGUAAGAAUAAGCACCGGCUAACUCCGUGCCAGCAGCCGCGGUAAUACGGAGGGUGCAAGCGUUAUCCGGAAUCAUUGGGUUUAAAGGGUCCGUAGGUGGGCCCUUAAGUCAGUGGUGAAAUCCUGCGGCUCAACCGCAGGACUGCCAUUGAUACUGAGGGCCUUGAAUUGUUGUGAAGUGGCUGGAAUAUGUG
This 626-nucleotide ribosomal RNA is filed under the name Eudoraea sp. UA-AR0127. RNAcentral describes it as "bacterial SSU rRNA". It matches the Rfam family "Bacterial small subunit ribosomal RNA", at positions 51 to 672 of the family's 1533-position model. Lineage: Bacteria; Pseudomonadati; Bacteroidota; Flavobacteriia; Flavobacteriales; Flavobacteriaceae. The record is from RNAcentral.